Molecule: ribosomal RNA, 374 nt
Filed under: uncultured bacterium
Lineage: Bacteria
Description: bacterial SSU rRNA
Rfam family: Bacterial small subunit ribosomal RNA
Source: RNAcentral
GACGAACGCUGGCGGCGUGCCUAACACAUGCAAGUCGAGCGGUAAGGCCCUUUCGGGGGUACACGAGCGGCGAACGGGUGAGUAACACGUGGGUGACCUGCCCUCAGCUCUGGGAUAAGCCUGGGAAACCGGGUCUAAUACCGGAUAUGACUCCAUGACGCAUGUUGUGGGGUGGAAAGCCUUGUGCGGCUGAGGAUGGGCCCGCGGCCUAUCAGCUUGUUGGUGGGGUGAUGGCCUACCAAGGCGACGACGGGUAGCCGGCCUGAGAGGGCGGACCGGCCACACUGGGACUGAGACACGGCCCAGACUCCUACGGGAGGCAGCAGUGGGGAAUCUUGCGCAGUGGGCGAAAGCCUGACGCAGCGACGCCGCGU